AACGAACGCUGGCGGCAGGCUUGACACAUGCAAGUCGAACGCAUCCUUCGGGGUGAGUGGCAGACGGGUGAGUAACGCGUGGGAACGUGCCCUUCAGUUCGGGAUAACCCAGGGAAACUUGGGCUAAUACCGGAUACGUGCGAGAGCAGAAAGAUUUAUCGCUGAAGGAUCGGCCCGCGUCUGAUUAGCUAGUUGGUGGGGUAAUGGCCCACCAAGGCGACGAUCAGUAGCUGGUCUGAGAGGAUGAUCAGCCACAUUGGGACUGAGACACGGCCCAAACUCCUACGGGAGGCAGCAGUGGGGAAUAUUGGACAAUGGGCGCAAGCCUGAUCCAGCCAUGCCGCGUGAGUGAUGAAGGCCUUAGGGUUGUAAAGCUCUUUCGUCCGGGACGAUAAAGACGGUACCGGAAGAAGAAGCCCCGGCUAACUUCGUGCCAGCAGCCGCCGUAA
RNAcentral lists this ribosomal RNA (449 nucleotides) under uncultured bacterium. RNAcentral's name for it is "partial 16S ribosomal RNA". It matches the Rfam family "Bacterial small subunit ribosomal RNA", at positions 29 to 523 of the family's 1533-position model. The record is from RNAcentral.